Non-coding RNA from Podarcis lilfordi (Lilford's wall lizard), 76 nucleotides. The record is from the annotation of a GenBank genome assembly. NCBI's taxonomy places the organism in Eukaryota, Metazoa, Chordata, Lepidosauria, Squamata, Lacertidae.
GCCUGAAUAGUUCCAGCUGGUUAGAGCAUGGUGCUGAUAAUUGCCAAGGUUGCAGGUUCUAUCCCUGUGUGGGACA